AGUGAACGCUGGCGGUAGGCCUAACACAUGCAAGUCGAACGGCAGCACAGAGGAGCUUGCACCUUGGGUGGCGAGUGGCGGACGGGUGAGGAAUACAUCGGAAUCUACUCUGUCGUGGGGGAUAACGUAGGGAAACUUACGCUAAUACCGCAUACGACCUACGGGUGAAAGCAGGGGACCUUCGGGCCUUGCGCGAUUGAAUGGGCCGAUGUCGGAUUAGCUAGUUGGCGGGGUAAAGGGCCACCAAGGCGACGAUCCGUAGCUGGUCUGAGAGGAUGAUCAGCCACACUGGAACUGAGACACGGUCCAGACUCCUACGGGAGGCAGCAGUGGGGAAUAUUGGACAAUGGGCGCAAGCCUGAUCCAGCCAUACCGCGUGGGUGAAGAAGGCCUUCGGGUUGUAAAGCCCUUUUGUUGGGAAAGAAAUCCAGCUGGCUAAUACCCGGUUGGGAUGACGGUACCCAAAGAAUAAGCACCGGCUAACUUCGUGCCAGCCGCCGCCGUAA
This 506-nucleotide ribosomal RNA is filed under the name uncultured bacterium. RNAcentral describes it as "partial 16S ribosomal RNA". It matches the Rfam family "Bacterial small subunit ribosomal RNA", at positions 29 to 523 of the family's 1533-position model. The record is from RNAcentral.